Molecule: non-coding RNA, 1774 nt
Organism: Cyanistes caeruleus (blue tit)
Lineage: Eukaryota; Metazoa; Chordata; Aves; Passeriformes; Paridae
Source: RefSeq, a predicted model, not a curated record
GGCAGCGCCCGGCUCCACCACGCUGCUCCAGGGAGAGGAGGGCAGGAAGGCUCCCCAGCCUUUACGGGCAGCCCCGCCCGCUGAACUCAAGCUGCCAUUUUGAGAAAGGGCAGGGCAAGCUGGUGAGGCGCGUGUCGCCAUGCUGGAGUUGGGCACGGAGCAGCGAGUGAAGCUGUCGCGGGCCCAUCCUUAGUGUGGGAAAGCGGCGUGGCUGUGAGGCGAGGCGGGGUUUGUGUGGGACCGCGGCGGCAGCGGAGUUCAGUGCAGCGUGAGCAGGCGCGUGCAGAGGCCGAGUCAAGCUGACUGUCUUUUUCGGGGCCCUCCCAGCACCGACAGUUUCUUGGUUUUGCGCCCCUCUCAAGCUGCCACCAAACUCCCUGAAGAGUCGGCAGGAAGCGGCGCUUUGAAGGAGCGCGCUCCGGCGCGCCCUGAGGAGGAUCUUUAAUCGCCGCAGGGGCAGAUGCUCGGAGCCGCCCCAAGGCCCCGCGCCAGGCCCGCACAGGCCCUGCCCGCAGAGGUCCUUCCCAGGGAAUUUCCUUCCCAGGGAAUCCCUGUUGGGAUUAGAUCCGUAAACUGUGUCAGCAGGACCCAAGAGAGAGAUGCUGAAAGUGGAGUUUAAAUUACGAUGGGCUGAACGAGCCUGUUUACGCCUUCAGGGGUGCGCUGUAGGGCGGCCGCCUCAAAAUGAGAGCAGCCGAGGUGGUGCUGAGCCGCACGCCAAAAAUUUCCGUGAGGAAUGUCGGGGUGUGCCCUCAGACUCCAGCUCCUACAAGCAUUCGGCUCGGAGGAAAAGUAACCCGGAGAUCAGCAAUCAGCUUAAUUAUCGUGUAAAAAAUCCUGAUUGGGGAACUGUCUUGUCUGUUGACCUCUGUAUUUCGUAGAGAUGCUUCAUGCGCCUAAAGGAGGAAUGAGCCAUGAGGAGAUGCAGUGGCUAAUGUCCUGCGUUGUGUAAGACCAGUGAAAAAGCCCCGGUUUUGCACGUUUCUAACCAUAAAGAAUGCUGUUUUUCGAGCCUCGGUCACUCCUUGUCAUUGUGUGUCUACCACUGUCAUUGAGGGAUCUAAUGUCUCAGUGAUGACAUUACCUGACUGACGUUUCCUGUUUAUUUCUUUUUAAAUAACAAUACGAAGCACUCGCAAAACAUUUUUCACUUUACAGCAAUAUCAAGUAUUAACUAAUGAACCUGCUCACACCCAAAUGAGCUAUAUGAUAGCAUUAUUACAUGCAGACAGUCAGAGUGACUUCCUCAGGGCUACUGUGAGUCAGUGACACAGGUAGCAUUAUGCUCCAGGUCCUAUUUCAGAUUCAUUCCAGCAGACUGUACAGUUUUGCACACCUGGAAGGUUUGCAAAGUCAUUAUGAAUUAUUAUUUGUUUCAUUUUUAUAGUUUCAUUGAUCAGUGCAUCAAUUUACUUCAUGUAAAAGGCUUCAGCUGUGAAAUUCAGUCUCAUAUUCACUCAUGAGAUCCUAAAAUCGUCAUUUUUCAAAACUUAUAUUUGCAAUCCUGUGAUGUGCUGAGUGCCCACCCUUUACAGUUGGUACAGAAAAACAUUAUCAGAAUCGGCUUUGGUGGAAGGAAAAGAAUAUUUACAUUCAAUGUUCAUUCUGCAUCUUGACCUUGUGCUGAACCAUUUUUUUCUUUAGACUGAAAGGAAUGAGAAAGAAGUGUCUUUACACACAGAUUCUGGGCCUGAUGGUAGAUAAGGCCAGCUAUGACAGGGUGAAAGAAGCAGUGGGGGGGAACCAUAAAUUCCAUAGGAAUUCCACUAAUUGA